This 30-nucleotide non-coding RNA is filed under the name Homo sapiens (human). Lineage: Eukaryota; Metazoa; Chordata; Mammalia; Primates; Hominidae. The record is from RNAcentral.
UUAGAAUACGGAUGAUGAUUAGUCCUAAGU